CAAAGGCUUGGUCCUGACUUUACUAUCAACUUUAGCUAAACUUACACAUGCAAGUAUCCGCACCCCUGUGAGAAUGCCCUACAGUUCCCCGCCCGGGAACGAGGAGCCGGUAUCAGGCACACACAACCAGCCCAUGACACCUUGCUUAGCCACACCCUCAAGGGAACUCAGCAGUGAUAGACAUUAAGCCAUAAGUGAAAACUUGACUUAGUCAAAGCUAACAGGGCCGGUAAAACUCGUGCCAGCCACCGCGGUUAUACGAGAGGCCCAAGUUGACAGUCACCGGCGUAAAGAGUGGUUAAAGAAUGAUUAAAACUAAAGCCGAACACCUUCAAGGCAGUUAUACGCACCCGAAGGUUAGAAGCCCAACUACGAAAGUGGCUUUAUCUUUCCUGAACCCACGAGAGCUACGGCACAAACUGGGAUUAGAUACCCCACUAUG
Molecule: ribosomal RNA, 442 nt
Filed under: Chelidonichthys cuculus (red gurnard)
Lineage: Eukaryota; Metazoa; Chordata; Actinopteri; Perciformes; Triglidae
Description: partial small subunit ribosomal RNA
Rfam family: Bacterial small subunit ribosomal RNA
Source: RNAcentral